UACGUAGGGGGCAAGCGUUGUCCGGAAUCAUUGGGCGUAAAGAGCGUGUAGGCGGCUUGACAAGUCCGCUGUGAAAGUCCAGGGCUCAACCCUGGAAUGCCAGUGGAAACUAUCAGGCUAGAGUCCGGAAGAGGCGAGUGGAAUUCCUGGUGUAGCGGUGAAAUGCGCAGAUAUCAGGAGGAACACCGAUAGCGAAGGCAGCUCGCUGGGACGGUACUGACGCUGAGAAGCGAAAGCGUGGUGAGCAAACAGG
Molecule: ribosomal RNA, 253 nt
Filed under: uncultured bacterium
Lineage: Bacteria
Description: partial 16S ribosomal RNA
Rfam family: Bacterial small subunit ribosomal RNA
Source: RNAcentral